This 395-nucleotide long non-coding RNA is filed under the name Androctonus crassicauda. The record is from RNAcentral. Lineage: Eukaryota; Metazoa; Arthropoda; Arachnida; Scorpiones; Buthidae.
GGAACAGCUGAGCAGUACCAAGUUUUGUUUCAUUUUGGUUUUCCUCUUGUUAGAGUUUCCGGGGUUGUCAUUUGGUCGAGCGUAUCCACAUGCUUCUAAUUAUGGUAUGAGAUUGUGGCUGGAUCCCGUUGUCCUUAACCAGAGUAGUGCUUGUUCUCCUGCAUUAUUGGACAGUUUGUAUCCAACGUGUAAAUAGAAUUUCUUAAGUCCAAUUCUAACCAUGGCAUACUUUUAUUAUAAACAAACCACAUCUGAUUGCACAUUAAACAAGGGUGCCGUUUUUGGUUGCUGGAACCGAAUACUUUAAAGAUGAAAAAAAAACAUGCCGAGGAAAAAAGAUAAGAAAAUUAAUGUUAUUUGAUUCAUAUGCGUCUUCAUUGUACUAGACAAUCAAC